Molecule: ribosomal RNA, 507 nt
Filed under: uncultured Alphaproteobacteria bacterium
Lineage: Bacteria; Pseudomonadati; Pseudomonadota; Alphaproteobacteria
Description: bacterial SSU rRNA
Rfam family: Bacterial small subunit ribosomal RNA
Source: RNAcentral
UACCAACCCUUGACAUCCCGUGCUACAUCCAGAGAUGGAUGGUUCCCUUCGGGGACGCGGUGACAGGUGCUGCAUGGCUGUCGUCAGCUCGUGUCGUGAGAUGUUCGGUUAAGUCCGGCAACGAGCGCAACCCACAUCUUUAGUUGCCAGCAGUUCGGCUGGGCACNCUAAAGAAACUGCCCGUGAUAAGCGGGAGGAAGGUGUGGAUGACGUCAAGUCCUCAUGGCCCUUACGGGUUGGGCUACACACGUGCUACAAUGGCAGUGACAAUGGGUUAAUCCCAAAAAACUGUCUCAGUUCGGAUUGGGGUCUGCAACUCGACCCCAUGAAGUCGGAAUCGCUAGUAAUCGCGUAACAGCAUGACGCGGUGAAUACGUUCCCGGGCCUUGUACACACCGCCCGUCACACCAUGGGAGUUGGUUCUACCCGACGGCCGUGCGCUAACCUUUUGGAGGCAGCGGACCACGGUAGGAUCAGCGACUGGGGUGAAGUCGUAACAAGGUAGCA